Molecule: ribosomal RNA, 503 nt
Filed under: uncultured bacterium
Lineage: Bacteria
Description: partial 16S ribosomal RNA
Rfam family: Bacterial small subunit ribosomal RNA
Source: RNAcentral
GUUGAACGCUGGCGGCAGGCUUAACACAUGCAAGUCGAGCGGGGUGAUGGUGCUUGCACUAUCACUUAGCGGCGGACGGGUGAGUAAUGCUUAAGAAUCUGCCUAUUAGUGGGGGACAACAUCUCGAAAGGGAUGCUAAUACCGCAUACGUCAUACGGGAGAAAGCAGGGGAUCACUUGUGACCUUGCGCUAAUAGAUGAGCCUAAGUCGGAUUAGCUAGUUGGUGGGGUAAAGGCCUACCAAGGCGACGAUAUGUAGCGGGUCUGAGAGGAUGAUCCGCCACACUGGGACUGAGACACGGCCCAGACUCCUACGGGAGGCAGCAGUGGGGAAUAUUGGACAAUGGGGGGAACCCUGAUCCAGCCAUGCCGCGUGUGUGAAGAAGGCCUUAUGGUUGUAAAACACUUUAAGCGAGGAGGAGGCUGUUUUGGUUAAUCCCCACAAUGAGUGGACGUAACUCGCAGAAUAAGCACCGGCUAACUCUGUGCAAGCGGCCGCCGUAA